AACGAACGCUGGCGGUGCGUUUUAAGCAUGCAAGUUGAACGGGAUCCAAGUGCUUGCACUUGGUGAGAGUAGCGGACGGGUGAGUAACACGUAGGUAAUCUACCCUUGUGUUGGGGAUAGCUCAUGGAAACAUGGGGUAAUACCGAAUACGAUUAACGGGACACAAGUUCUGUUAAGGAAAGGCGCCUUAAAGCGUCGCACAAGGAGGAGCCUGCGGCAGAUUAGCUAGUUGGUGGGGUAAAGGCCUACCAAGGCAACGAUCUGUAGCCGGCCUGAGAGGGUGAACGGCCACACUGGGACUGAGAACGGCCCAGACUCCUACGGGAGGCAGCAGCUAAGAAUCUUCCGCAAUGGACGAAAGUCUGACGGAGCGACACCGCGUGAAUGAUGAAGGCAGAGAUGUUGUAAAAUUCUUUUACCAGGGAGGAAUAAGGUAGGUAGGAAAUGAUCUGCUGAUGACGUUAUCUGGUGAAUAAGCCCCGGCUAAUUACGUACCAGCAGCCGCGGUAACACGUAAGGGGCAAGCGUUGUUCGGAAUUAUUGGGCGUAAAGGGUGCGCAGGCGGAUUUCCAAGUCUGAUGUAAAAGGUGUGAGCUUAACUUGCACAGGCGUUGGAAACUGGAAAUCUGGAAUGGUUGAGGGGUAGCUGGAAUUCCUAGUGUAGAGGUAAAAUUUGUAGAUAUUAGGAAGAACACCGGAGGCGAAGGCGAGCUACUGGCAACCAAUUGACGCUGAGGCACGAAAGCGUGGGGAGCGAACAGG
RNAcentral lists this ribosomal RNA (762 nucleotides) under uncultured bacterium. Its description in RNAcentral is "bacterial SSU rRNA". It matches the Rfam family "Bacterial small subunit ribosomal RNA", at positions 28 to 776 of the family's 1533-position model. The record is from RNAcentral.